Long non-coding RNA from Rhodamnia argentea, 251 nucleotides. RefSeq lists it as uncharacterized. The transcript has 2 exons. NCBI's taxonomy places the organism in Eukaryota, Viridiplantae, Streptophyta, Magnoliopsida, Myrtales, Myrtaceae. The record is from RefSeq and is a predicted model, not a curated record.
UAUAACAUCGAGCCAGAGAUGAUCAUUGAAUCGUUCCUUGAUUUCUUUGUAUAUCAAGUACUGCAGAAUACAAAAUCCAGAGUGUGCAAACUUAUUUAAUAUCAAGGAGAUAAGGAAGCAUGCAGCAAACUUUAAAAUAAAAUGAUUUUUCUGUGACACUAUCAACUGUAAGAAAUAACAACACUUAUCCCUCCAUAACCUUGCCUAGAUAUUAGGCACGUGGUAAAGCGCAAACACUGUUGUUUCAACAA